RNAcentral lists this long non-coding RNA (856 nucleotides) under Gigantopelta aegis. RNAcentral's name for it is "uncharacterized LOC121386302, transcript variant X2". Lineage: Eukaryota; Metazoa; Mollusca; Gastropoda; Neomphalida; Peltospiridae. The record is from RNAcentral.
GACAGGUUUAUAUAACGACACCCCAGCACAUAUGGCUUAAUAAGGAAGGACAGGUUUAUAUAACGACACCCCAGCACAUAUGGCUUAAUAAGGAAGGACAGGUUUAUAUAAAGACACCCCAGCACAUAUGGCUUAAUAAGGAAGGACAGGUUUAUAUAACGACACCCCAGCACAUAUGGCUUAAUAAGGAAGGACAGGUUUAUAUAACGACACCCCAGCACAUAUGGCUUAAUAAGGAAGGACAGGUUUAUAUAACGACACCCCAGCACAUAUGGCUUAAUAAGGAAGGACAGGUUUAUAUAACGACACCCCAGCACAUAUGGCUUAAUAAGGAAGGACAGGUUUAUAUAACGACACCCCAGCACAUAUGGCUUAAUAAGGAAGGACAGGUUUAUAUAACGACACCCCAGCACAUAUGGCUUAAUAAGGAAGGACAGGUUUAUAUAACGACACCCCAGCACAUAUGGCUUAAUAAGGAAGGACAGGUUUAUAUAACGACACCCCAGCACAUAUGGCAUAAUAAGGAAGGACAGGUUUAUAUAACGACACCCCAGCACAUAUGGCUUAAUAAGGAAGGACAGGUUUAUAUAACGACACCCCAGCACAUAUGGCUUAAUAAGGAAGGACAGGUUUAUAUAACGACACCCCAGCACAUAUGGCUUAAUAAGGAAGGACAGGUUUAUAUAAAGACACCCCAGCACAUAUGGCAUAAUAAGGAAGGACAGGUUUAUAUAACGACACCCCAGCACAUAUGGCAUAAUAUGGAAGGACAGGUUUAUAUAACGACACCCCAGCACAUAUGGCUUAAUAAGGAAGGACAGGUUUAUAUAACGACACCCCAGCACAUAUGGCUUAA